Molecule: long non-coding RNA, 537 nt
Organism: Hordeum vulgare subsp. vulgare (domesticated barley)
Lineage: Eukaryota; Viridiplantae; Streptophyta; Magnoliopsida; Poales; Poaceae
Exons: 2
Source: RefSeq, a predicted model, not a curated record
GAGCUCGACAGGUGCCUCCCAUCCCUCCGCACCGCUGCUCUGCGCUUCGUGCGUCGGUUGCUCGGAUUGAAGAGAUCGACAAAGAGAGCAAGGCGACUUCAAGCAGAUCGUGACGAUGCUGCGCCACAUCAAGGACAAGGCUCACAAGGACGGCCAGAAGAAGACCGAGCAGGCCAUCUCCAGGUGAUUCCACCUCCCCCGUGCCUAUUCCCGGUCAAUUUCGCAAUGCUACUGUGCGCAGUCCUUCUACCAGCCCCACUCUUACGAGGGAUUUGUUGCCUGCCACGGUAGUUUCGGCAGCUAAGAGUAUGUUGUUUGUGUUUCUAACCUGCUGCAUGCCCUGUAUCUGAACCUGAUGUAUGCACUGUAUCUGAAUCUACUGGUAUGCCUUCUAUCUGAACCUGAUGUACUCCCUGUAUAUGAACCUACUGUAUGCCUUGUGUCUGAACCUGAUGUAUGCCCUGUAUCUGAAUCUAGGUUUCAGGAGUCUGUAACUGGAUGGGAACUAGGAGUUACCAGUGGCAUGUUGUUUGUGAA